Molecule: transfer RNA, 75 nt
Filed under: Alistipes sp. CAG:831
Lineage: Bacteria; Pseudomonadati; Bacteroidota; Bacteroidia; Bacteroidales; Rikenellaceae
Description: transfer RNA-Arg(CCG)
Rfam family: tRNA
About the family: Transfer RNA (tRNA) molecules are approximately 80 nucleotides in length. Their secondary structure includes four short double-helical elements and three loops (D, anti-codon, and T loops). Further hydrogen bonds mediate the characteristic L-shaped molecular structure. tRNAs have two regions of fundamental functional importance: the anti-codon, which is responsible for specific mRNA codon recognition, and the 3' end, to which the tRNAs corresponding amino acid is attached (by aminoacyl-tRNA synthetases). tRNAs cope with the degeneracy of the genetic code in two manners: having more than one tRNA (with a specific anti-codon) for a particular amino acid; and 'wobble' base-pairing, i.e. permitting non-standard base-pairing at the 3rd anti-codon position.
Source: RNAcentral
GCCUCCGUAGUUUAAUGGAUAGAAUGAGAGAUUCCGGUUCUCUUGGUUGGGGUUCGAUUCCCCACGGAGGUACUA